This 1089-nucleotide long non-coding RNA is filed under the name Bemisia tabaci. Its description in RNAcentral is "lncRNA ENSSSA1NGG003879". Lineage: Eukaryota; Metazoa; Arthropoda; Insecta; Hemiptera; Aleyrodidae. The record is from RNAcentral.
AUGCCCGAAACUUUUCUCAAUAACCUUCAAAUCAACUUUCGGAACUGUUUUUGGAAUAGCAUGCGGAGUGUCCUGCGGGAUUGCCUCGUACCUUCGCCUCUACAAAAGCAAAAACUAACGCAACAGAGAGCAGCAAUGAUAAAUCCAUGUUGCAAAGAACUCACAUCCCAACAAUAACAGUGCCCCUACGUGAAGUCUCCCACUUUCUUUCCAGAUGACCAUUAUCAAUGUUUCUGAUCUCCUCACAUUUUUGUCAUUAACACUAUCAGUGCGUAAGUAAUUUUUUGGAAAUGUACGGAAGCAAAUAAGAAUGCAAGGUCAAUUGAGUCAUACCGAUUAUUUUUAAUUAACAUAUCGACGGUGAAACUACCAAACCACGUAUCUCGGUUUGCGACGUUGCAGACUUCCUUUCAUACUUUAUUUUUUAAAUGAAAAACUACUUAACGUCCAGUCUUGAAAAUUUCUGUGAUUUUUCCUCUUCGUGCGGAGAAAAUUCUGUGAAAAAUUUUAAGGAAUGAUAUUGAUUUGGUCUACUUCAAAAAAAUAAAAUGCGAGCGUAGAUUUUUAAACACCGCAAACGAGAUACGUGGUUUGGUAGUUUCACCGUCGAUAUGCUUUGUGAAAAAAGUGUUCUUGAGUGAGGGUUUGACCUUUACAUUGAAGUGUUGCCUGAUGGGCGUUCCAAAUAUGGGUCAUAAUAAUCCGAUAUCAAAUUGUCCACAUACUGCCAUUAGGAACUACUAUUUCUGACUCAGAGACAACGUAUCGAUAGUAGAACUUUUAAACGAAGUAUCUUUUCUGCGGUGUUUAAAAAUCUCCCGUUCAUGUUUUUGAGGAACUAAUUGACACAAUUUCUUGAAAUUUUUACACAAUUUUCUUCGCACGAUAAGAAAAAAUCGCGGAGGUUUAUACGAAUCGACGUUGAUUAGUUUUCCACUUUAAAACGGAAGCACGUCGGGAAGUCUAAAACACCGCCAACCCAGAUACGUGGUUUGGGAGUUUCACCGACGAAACGUGCUAAUAGUUUCCUUAUGGAGAAAGGUGCUUUUGUGAGUGCGCAAAAAAAUUAGCUCCUAGCUGUAUUUAGUC